UCAUCAUAGGAAGGUAUGAAAACAAGUAUCAAAAUGAUCAAUAAACAAAUUAAUUUCAGAUGGGAUGUUUAGGAACAAGCUUAAGUAAAAUUGUAGUAAGUUUUUGGAUUCCCUGGAUUUCUGCAUUUUCUAGUCAUGGGAUUUGAAGUGCUCAAAACCAUCAGGUGUAAUGAAUGUGUAAUUUACAGGUAGAACAUGACUCCCAUGGGCCAGGCACCGAGCAACAUCCAGAUCCUCAGUAAUCUCCAAGCAAGUCUGCGACACAGCUCUGGUUGGGAUGGAGGUGAGGCUCUGACCUGCCCCUGCUCACUUUGCUCCUCCAUGCUGCCCUCCCACCUCCAUCAUGAAUUUAUGCAACAGCAUCCUGACUGGUUUCCCAGCUCUGAAUAUCUGCUGUCUCCAGGUCACUCUCCACACCUGGCCAAGGUUAUCUUCCUGGCAGAGUUGACAGGUUACAAGUGUGAAUUCAGACUACAAGCAGGACACCUGCAGCCACUGAGAGAUGCCAGGAGUUUGAGGAGCACCUGGAAGCACCGCAGCUGACCCCUUAAUUCCAAGGACACAGUCAUACAGCAGGAUGAUUUAAGUUCCAGAACUGCUGCAUUAAUUCCAAGGAUGUACCCCAGUAUCUCUUGCUUUAUUCUCUUCCCCGGUGAAGUUUUUGUUUAAAGGCUGAGCUCCACGGGAGGAAAGAAACAAGUGUAGAAGAUGCUUGGCACCACCCGAGUGAAGAUCACGAUGGUAGAGCCUUCCAGUGGAAGACCCUGAGGCUGGAUCAGGGGCUGGAGCUGUCUAACCGGCUACCUGGCUGAUGGCUCCCCACGAGAGUGUUUUCUUUUUUCUCUCUCUGAGCAAUAAAGCAGCUUGCUUUCUUUCUUCCUUCCUUUCUUUCUUUCUUUCUUUCUUUCUUUCUUUCUUUCUUUCUUUCUUUCUUUCUUUCUUUCUUUCUUUCUUUCUUUCUUUCUUUCUUUCUUUCUUUCUUUCUUUCUUUCUUUCUUUCUUUCUUUUCUUUCUUUCUUUCUUUCUUUCUUUCUUUCUUUCUUUCUUUCUUUUCCACUUUGCCUCUUUCCCAUUAUUGAGAAUUCUGUCUCAGUUGGCAGGCAAGGACCUACACGUUUAAGGCAGGGCUUGCCCACAAAUUUUGGUGGGCUUUUUAGUUUGGGGGGGUCUCUCAAGCCACUAAUAUAACAAUACUGAUCAUAUGUUGAAAUGAUGU
Molecule: long non-coding RNA, 1216 nt
Organism: Camelus dromedarius (Arabian camel)
Lineage: Eukaryota; Metazoa; Chordata; Mammalia; Artiodactyla; Camelidae
Exons: 3
Source: RefSeq, a predicted model, not a curated record